Molecule: unclassified non-coding RNA, 374 nt
Filed under: uncultured Gammaproteobacteria bacterium
Lineage: Bacteria; Pseudomonadati; Pseudomonadota; Gammaproteobacteria
Description: contains 16S-23S intergenic spacer region
Source: RNAcentral
UCCGGUUUGUCACCGGCAGUCUCAUUAGAGUGCUCAACUAAAUGUAGCAACUAAUGACAAGGGUUGCGCUCGUUGCGGGACUUAACCCAACAUCUCACGACACGAGCUGACGACAGCCAUGCAGCACCUGUGUUCAGGUUCCCUUUCGGGCACUCUCUGAUCUCUCAAAGAUUCCUGACAUGUCAAGGGUAGGUAAGGUUUUUCGCGUUGCAUCGAAUUAAUCCACAUCAUCCACCGCUUGUGCGGGUCCCCGUCAAUUCCUUUGAGUUUCGGUCUUGCGACCGUACUCCCCAGGCGGAGUGUUUCACGCGUUAGCUGGGCCCCUGAUCCACGCAGACCAAGGACGAACACUCAUCGUUUACGGCAUAGACUAC